This 749-nucleotide long non-coding RNA is filed under the name Nicotiana tabacum (common tobacco). RNAcentral describes it as "long non-coding RNA (NTAB_LNC012487)". Lineage: Eukaryota; Viridiplantae; Streptophyta; Magnoliopsida; Solanales; Solanaceae. The record is from RNAcentral.
AACAGCUCUAUAAAGAACCAUCAAAGAACGAAAAGAUACUUAAUUUCGAAAAAGAGAAGAUGGGUGGAAGCAGGUAUGCACCAAGUCAAAAAUCAGCCCAAAAAAAGGAGCUUUUUAACACAGAAAAAGUGAAAAUUCUAAAAAAAAAAAACUUUGAAAAAGGGGAGAAAAAAGUAACAGAGAAAUAAAUUUAUAAAUUUACCUUUGAAAGAGAAACAAGUGAAGCAACAGAUCUACAGUGACACCGCCUACAAAAUGGGCAAAAAAGCAUUAGAUAUGAUUUUCCAAAUAUGAGCAAAAUGAUUUCACCUCUCUGUUUCUAUAUAUGACCAAGAUUGCUUCUUUCCCUCUAAUACAAAAGAACCAAAGAUACAUACAAGAGUCACCGAGUUUAACAGAAGACCGCGAAAGGGAGGGCGUGUGGGUGGAUGGGGAGUUGAAGGAUGAGAUGACAAUGAAAUGGUGGGUGGAAACAAAAAAGCAAAAAAUACAUACUACUACAGAGAAUAUGAGGGAAGAGGUGGUGGCCUAUUAUACAGAAAGAAAAUAACCCCACAAUGCAACAAAAAGGAGAUUUAUGACUAAAUAACUACACGUAUACCAAAAUACAAAUACAUUAAAUAGGAUAUCCUAUAUCAGAGCAGUUUCCAAAGAUAGAUGUGGAAAGGAAUUAUUAGUAAAUGUUAGGAAAGUGAGGAAAAGGAAAAGAAAUCAAUUUAACUCGCUUAUGUUGUCCUAUAUCAGAGCAG